GAUGAACGCUGGCGGCGUGCUUAACACAUGCAAGUCGAACGGUGAAGGCGGAGCUUGCUCUGCUGGAUCAGUGGCGAACGGGUGAGUAACACGUGAGCAAUCUGCCCCUGACUCUGGGAUAAGCGCUGGAAACGGCGUCUAAUACAGGAUACGAGCUGCGAAGGCAUCUUCAGCAGCUGGAAAGAAGAUCGGUCAGGGAUGAGCUCGCGGACUAUCAGCUUGUUGGUGAGGUAAUGGCUGACCAAGGCGUCGACGGGUAGCCGGCCUGAGAGGGUGACCGGCCACACUGGGACUGAGACACGGCCCAGACUCCUACGGGAGGCAGCAGUGGGGAAUAUUGCACAAUGGGCGAAAGCCUGAAGCAGCAACGCCGCGUGAGGGACGACGGCCUUCGGGUUGUAAACCUCUUUUAGCAGAGAAGAAGCGAAAGUGACGGUACCUGCAGAAAAAGCGCCGGCUAACUACGUG
Molecule: ribosomal RNA, 468 nt
Filed under: uncultured bacterium
Lineage: Bacteria
Description: partial 16S ribosomal RNA
Rfam family: Bacterial small subunit ribosomal RNA
Source: RNAcentral